GACCAAAGCCUCGAUGUUCAGAAAGGUUCAAAGACUGUGCAGAAAAGAAGACUGAAAAUAUUUUAAGUUCUCGUAAAGCUGCUCAUGAAAUCUGCAUUCAGGUUAAAUUAAGAAAUGAAACCUUAAAAUGGAUACAGUGGGAAUAUGUAGUAAUGAUGAGAAAAAAGAAAUUUGACAUUCUAUCAAGCAAUGCAAUGAGCAGAAGUAUUGCAGAUAAGAAUCUGAACAAAAGAUCUUGAAUUACCCAUCCGAUGGACUGAAAGAAAUUCACAUUCCUUGGGAAAGUAGGACAAGAUAUCACCUUUAACCUCAUAAUAAGGUUGUCUAAUCAACUUCAGAUCUUGUAAUUCAUAGCUUUUGAGUAUUUGGAUUUUAAU
Molecule: long non-coding RNA, 377 nt
Filed under: Anser brachyrhynchus (Pink-footed goose)
Lineage: Eukaryota; Metazoa; Chordata; Aves; Anseriformes; Anatidae
Description: lncRNA (ENSABRG00000006578.1)
Source: RNAcentral